GACGAACGCUGGCGGCGUGCCUAAUACAUGCAAGUUGAGCGCUGAAGGUUGGUACUUGUACCAACUGGAUGAGCAGCGAACGGGUGAGUAACGCGUGGGGAAUCUGCCUUUGAGCGGGGGACAACAUUUGGAAACGAAUGCUAAUACCGCAUAAAAACUUUAAACACAAGUUUUAAGUUUGAAAGAUGCAAUUGCAUCACUCAAAGAUGAUCCCGCGUUGUAUUAGCUAGUUGGUGAGGUAAAGGCUCACCAAGGCGAUGAUACAUAGCCGACCUGAGAGGGUGAUCGGCCACAUUGGGACUGAGACAUGGCCCAAACUCCUACGGGAGGCAGCAGUAGGGAAUCUUCGGCAAUGGACGAAAGUCUUACCGAGCAACGCCGCGUGAGUGAAGAAGGUUUUCGGAUCGUAAAACUCUGUUGGUAGAGAAGAACGUUGGUGAGAGUGGAAAGCUCAUCAAGUGACGGUAACUACCCAGAAAGGGACGGCUAAUUACGUG
Molecule: ribosomal RNA, 497 nt
Filed under: uncultured bacterium
Lineage: Bacteria
Description: partial 16S ribosomal RNA
Rfam family: Bacterial small subunit ribosomal RNA
Source: RNAcentral